UACGAAGGGGGCUAGCGUUGUUCGGAAUUACUGGGCGUAAAGCGCGCGCAGGCGGUUCUUCAAGUCAGUGGUGAAAGCCCGGAGCUCAACUCCGGAACUGCCAUUGAAACUGUAGAACUUGAGGAUGAGAGAGGUGAGUGGAAUUCCCAGUGUAGAGGUGAAAUUCGUAGAUAUCCGGAGGAACACCAGUGGCGAAGGCGACACGCUGGGCCGUACCUGACACUGAUGCGCGACAGCAUGGGGAGCAAACAGG
Molecule: ribosomal RNA, 253 nt
Filed under: uncultured bacterium
Lineage: Bacteria
Description: partial 16S ribosomal RNA
Rfam family: Bacterial small subunit ribosomal RNA
Source: RNAcentral